UCCUGGUUAGCUUAGUUGGUAGAGCUCUCCACUGAAAAUGGGGAGGUUCCUGGUUCGAUACCAGGGCCAAGCG
RNAcentral lists this transfer RNA (73 nucleotides) under Ixodes scapularis (black-legged tick). It matches the Rfam family "tRNA". Rfam says of the family: Transfer RNA (tRNA) molecules are approximately 80 nucleotides in length. Lineage: Eukaryota; Metazoa; Arthropoda; Arachnida; Ixodida; Ixodidae. The record is from Rfam by way of RNAcentral.